Molecule: Y RNA, 102 nt
Filed under: Saimiri boliviensis boliviensis (Bolivian squirrel monkey)
Lineage: Eukaryota; Metazoa; Chordata; Mammalia; Primates; Cebidae
Description: Y RNA (ENSSBOG00000005683.1)
Rfam family: Y RNA
About the family: Y RNAs are components of the Ro ribonucleoprotein particle (Ro RNP), in association with Ro60 and La proteins. The Y RNAs and Ro60 and La proteins are well conserved, but the function of the Ro RNP is not known.
Source: Rfam by way of RNAcentral
GGCUGGUCCGAGUGCAGUGGUGUUUACAACUAACUGAUUACAACCAGUUACAGAUUUCUUUGCUCCUUCUCCACUCCCACUGCUUCACUUGACCAGCCUGAA